This is a long non-coding RNA of Centruroides sculpturatus (bark scorpion), 248 nucleotides long. RefSeq lists it as uncharacterized. The transcript is spliced from 4 exons. The record is from RefSeq and is a predicted model, not a curated record. NCBI's taxonomy places the organism in Eukaryota, Metazoa, Arthropoda, Arachnida, Scorpiones, Buthidae.
UAUUGUGAUACAAUUCGCUUAGACUUUUGAGUGCAUUUUACUAUAUUGACUGGUGAAUCGCACAGGUCGGAAGACACACCAAAUGAAUGUUAUUAAUCCAGAAAAAAACAUGAAGACAAUCUUACUGCUUAUUUUUACACUCAUUUCUUCCGUAACAUGUCGAUAUGAAAAAUUCGAGGAAAUGGUAGAAAAUAUUUGUGAAUAAAGAGACAGCAACUCGAUAAAGUGAAAGGUCAAGUAACGAUAUU